CUUGUGUCAUUAAACUUUAAUUUGAAAAAAUUCCCAUUCAUUUUCAGCCAAUUAUGUCAGCUCUGUGUGUUUGGCAGUGCUCCGUGUUUGUGUCCAGGGAGGAAGAACGUUUACUUUGUGUGUGUCUAUGAAUGAAGUACAGUGAUUAGUAGAUUUAGGAAAAAAACAAUGUAGCAAGCAAAAGAAAAACAAAAUGGGGUGCAGAGGGAAUUCAAUCACAACAACAAUAAAAACUACAGGAAUAAACCCACUGAGGAAAUGGGUGGGUUCUUUAGGGAGAAAACCAUAAUGUGGGGCUGAAGGCAGACAAGAUGAUCAGAGUUUGUACAGGGCUCUACACGUCCAUGGAAAGACUCAGUAUUGUACUGAUGUCAAUUUUCCCCAAAAUAAUCUCUCCCUUUUUCUUUUCUUUUCUUUUUAGGGCCGCACUUGUAGCAUAUGGAAGUUCCCAGGCUAGGGGCCUAAUUGGAGCUACAGCUGCUGGCCUACGCCACAGCCACAGCAACAUGGGAUCCGAGCCGCAUCUGUGACCUACGCCACAGCUCAUGGCAACUCUGGAUCUUUAACCCACUGACCGAAGCCAGGGAUCAAACCCGUAACCUCAUGGUUACUAGUCAGAUUUGUUUCUGCUGUGCCACGACGGGAACCCUCCAAAACAAUUUUUAAAUUCACAGAACUUGACAAGCAGGUGGAGGAGUUGAUGUACACUAAUAGUUAGCUUAGAUAAUUGAAAAGGAAGCACAAUGAACUGGAGCAUUUUACUUACUAGAUAUCAAAAGAUGGCAUAAAGCAAUAGCCGGUAAAAUAGUCUGACACAGAGAGAAAUACGCAGAUUGGUAAAACAGAACAAGGGCCUCAGACCCACCUAGACACUGUAAUUCAUUAUAUGAGGGAGUCUGAUUUCAGAUCAGCAGAGAAAGAACAAAUUCGUGUUGCAAUUAUCAGUGAUACAUGUUUGGAGAAAUGUUAGAUAAUAUCUCAUUUCAAUCAUAAACAUACAUUCCAGCUGCAUAAAGACCCAUAUAAAAACAAAACUACUAGAAAGGAAUUCAGAAUGUAUUUAAACCUUAGUAGUAAGAAAAGCCUAAACAUGAUGUAUAAAUAAAAAGAACAAAGGAACAGAUAAAUUUGAUUAUGUCAAAAUUGAUAACUUCUGUCUAACAAAAGCUCCUACAAAAUUUGAAGGCAAUAGACCAGCUGGAAGAAAACAUUUGCCACACACACACACACACACACACACACACACACACACACACACACACACACACACACGAUUGAUAUCUAGGUUAUAUUAGGAAACUCAUAAAUCAUUAAGAUAGACAAACAACCUAAUUUUUAAAUGAGCAAAAAUAAACAGAUUAUUCAGAAAAUAAAAAACACAAAUGCCUAAUACACAUAUGAAAAUCUCACUAGCAAACAAGUAUGCAUAAAUUUUUUUAAACGAUUCAAUUUUUCAUCCAUCAGAUUGGCAAACAUUUAAAAUAACUGCUUAUGGUGUGGGGACUGCAGUCCCCGCACACCCUCUGGCUAGAAGUUUAAAUGGUACAGAAAUCAUGGAGAACACUUUGGUAAUGUCUAAAACCAAAAAUGUGGAACUUGUGAGAGCCAAAAUUCUACUUAUCGAUGCAGGGGAGGGCACACUCUCGGCAUGUGGAAGUUCCUGGAAGCAGCAACUUGAGCCACUACAAUGAUAAUGCCAGAUCCUUAACCUGCUCAGCCACAUGGGAACUCCCCCAAUUCCACUUUUUAAACACUAUUCUAAAGAAACAUUACAGAGGAGGCAUGUAUAAGGCUUUUCUGCAGCCUGCUUAUGAGGGAGGAAAGAAAAGGAUGCAACAAACUAUCUAUGGAUCUUAGGGAAGAAAAAAAUGUGGCACAUGCAUGGGAGUGAUUAUAACACAGCUAUUAAAAGGAACUGGUGAGAACUAUUGUAUCAAUAUGAGUAUAUCUUAGCAAUCGAAGACAGUGAAAAAAAAAAACACAGCUUACAGUAAAAUCUCUAUAAGACGGGAGGAGUCAUUCAAAGUAUCUACAUCGAUACAUUUCUAUGGAAGGAGACACAUAAAACUGUGGGGAGGGGAGGCGAGCUAGAACUUCAGAGGAUGGCCAAAGGAAACUUUAGUUACAUUCAUAUUGUUCUACUUUUAAAAGGAAAAUGUAUUCAUGCUUUACUUGUUUAAUUAAAGUAUAAUCUGAAAAGAUUCUAAUUUGUUUUCAGCCAAUUAUGCCAGCUCUGAGUGUUUGGCUGUGCUCACGUGCGUGAGCCCAGGGAGGAAGAACGUUUACUUUGCGUGUGUGUCCGCAAGUCAAGCUGAUCAGUGAACAGGUUGAAACGAAGGAUGGAAAAACAAAGGGCACGAUAUUUGGUGAUAAUCUAUAGGAGAAAAGAAUCUGAAAAAGAAUGGAUGUGUGUAUAUGUAUAACUGAAUCACUCUGUCGUACUGCAGAAAUUAUCACAACAUUGUGAAUCAACUAUACUUCAAUGAAACUUAAAAAACAAAACAAACAAAAGCCCCAAGGGUCAAAUAAACAAAUAAGGGGAGAGGAGAUCCUAUUCACAACUGGCAACAAAACCUGUAAUAAAACGAGGAAUAAAUUUAUCAAGAAAUAUGCAAGACUUUUAACGAGAGAAAACCACACACCUUCCCUGAAAGACGUGAAAGAUGACCGCAACUGAGAGAUACAGCAAAGAGCACUGGUUGGCAGAUGCAAACAUGAUAAAGGGGCCAAUUUUCCUCAGACUUAUCCAUAAACUCAAUGUGACCCCAAUUAAAAUCCUAGCAGAAUUUUUCUUGAAAGUUGACUGGCUAUUUUAAAAUUCAUGUGGUGGGACAAAUAUGCAAGGAUGACCAAGGCAAUUUUACAAAAACAACAAAGAGGGUGGGAUUUGUCCCGGCAGUUAGCAAAGCAUAUUAUCCAGCUCAGGAGUAGACAAAUAGAUCAGUGGACCAGAAAGAGCUCUGACAUAGACCCACAUUGGAAUUUAGUGUCAGGCAGAGGCAGCGAUUUUAAAUCAGUGGAGAAAGGACAGAUUACCCAAUAAAUGGUACUGAAAAUAUUGGUUAUCAAUUUUGAAGUUUACUAAAAUUAAGCAUCCAUAACACACUAAAAAUUAGCUUCAUAUGCAGUAAAGGCUUAAAUGUGAGAAUAGUAAAAUAACAUAAAAUACAUAUGCAAGAAAGAAAAUCAUGAAAGCUUCAGGAAAAAUACAGGAAAAAUGGUUGUGAUCUUAACAUAAGCAGGGCCUUCUUAUGGCAAGAUAAUUCUAAAUUUGACAUAAAAAUUAAGAGCUCUGUAAUAAAAAGAUAAUACAGUUAAAUGACAAGGGUCAGAAUGGUAGAUUACAUGCAAUGCAUAGAGUAGACAGGGAAUUCAUAUGAAAAAUACGUAAAUAAAUCCUAUAAGUCAAAAAGAAAAAGACAACACAGAAGAGAGGGGGACAAAGGAGAUGCAUGGAUGAUUCCAAUGGGAGGAAAUAUAAAUGGCCAGGAGACCCAGGAGGAGACCACAAUGUGACCGGGAAAACACAAACGAAAUCAAGAAACCACUUUUUUCAUUCAUCAGAUCCAUAAACUUUAAAAGCUGGCAAUGGUUUGGAAAAAGGAAGAUUUACAGUUCCUUGUGAAAGGAGUUUAAAUUGCACAGCAACUUCAGAAGCCAACUUGGACUGCGACUACUAAAACUGGAACGGUGGACACCACAGGGGCCAGAGUUCCACUCUCACUGCCAACCCUAUAGAAACAUUUCCAGAGCAGGUGCCAAGAUGUCCCUGGCAGCAUUCUUCAUUACAAGGGGUUAAGGGGAGGAACCCCUCAGACUAUGGAUGUUAGAGAAGGGGAAUCUUGGUACAGUCAGGUGAAGAAGUACUACCCUAUACAGCUGCUAAAAAGCAUGAACAAGAGCUGCUAUAUCACUAACAUGAGUGUAACUCAAAAGCAAAGAUUAAGUGAAAAAAUGCAGGAUAUAGUAUAAUACCUAUGACAUGGUGACAUUUAUUCAAAAUACUUCCAUCCAUACUAUCUAUAUAUUUACUAUGGAAGGCAAUAUAUCAAAUUCUUUUUUUUUUUUUUUUUUUUUUUUUAUGGCUGCACCUGUGGCAUAUGGAAAUUCCUGGACGAGGGAUUGAACCUGAGUCUCCAAAGUGACCUGAGCCACUGCAGUCAGAUUGUUAACUUACUGCACCACAGCAGGAACUCUUAAUACAUCAAACUCUGAACAGUGGCCACCUCUGCGGAGGGUUGAGGAACCAGGACCUCAAGUGACCAAAGGAAACUUUAAUUUCAUACUGCUCUCCUUUUAAAAGGAAAAUGUAUUCGUGCUUUACUUGUUUAAUUAAAGUAUAAUCUGAAAAGAUUCUAAUUUGUUUUCAGCCAAUUAUGCCAGCUCUGAGUGUUUGGCUGUGCUCACGUGCGUGAGCCCAGGGAGGAAGAACGUUUACUUUGCGUGUGUGUCCGCAAGUCAAGCUGAUCAGUGAACAGGUUGAAACGAAGGAUGGAAAAACAAGGGCCAAACAUAAGGGGAGAGGAGAUCCUAUUCACAACUGGCAACAAAACCUGUAAUAAAACGAGGAAUAAAUUUAUCAAGAAAUAUGCAAGACUUUUAACGAGAGAAAACCACACACCUUCCCUGAAAGACGUGAAAGAUGACCGCAACUGAGAGAUACAGCAAAGAGCACUGGUUGGCAGAUGCAAACAUGAUAAAGGGGCCAAUUUUCCUCAGACUUAUCCAUAAACUCAAUGUGACCCCAAUUAAAAUCCUAGCAGAAUUUUUCUUGAAAGUUGACUGGCUAUUUUAAAAUUCAUGUGGUGGGACAAAUACGCAAGGAUGACCAAGGCAAUUUUACAAAAACAACAAAGAGGGUGGGAUUUGUCCCGGCAGUUAGCAAAGCAUAUUAUCCAGCUCAGGAGUAGACAAAUAGAUCAGUGGACCAGAAAGAGCUCUGACAUAGACCCACAUUGGAAUUUAGUGUCAGGCAGAGGCAGCGAUUUUAAAUCAGUGGAGAAAUGAUAUAUUAUUCCAUAAGUGGUAUUGGGACAAUUACCUACCCAUUUGUGGGAAACAGAGAGGGAUUAAAGUUAGUUCCUAAGAUUCAGGCAUUUGGAAUUUGUUCUUUGUAUAUAGUAUAAAGGCUUAAAUAUGUAUUUAUACAGAAACUAUAAAUUUUAGAGAAGGAAAUAUAGAAAAUACUUAUGAUCUUGAUCUAGAAAAGACUUUUUUUUUUUUUUUUUUGCUAUUUCUUGGGCCACUCCCUCGGCAUAUGGAGGUUCCCAGGCUAGGGGUUGAAUCGGAGCUGCAGCCACCAGCCUACACCAGAGCCACAGCAACGCUGGAUCCGAGCC
Molecule: long non-coding RNA, 5339 nt
Filed under: Sus scrofa (pig)
Lineage: Eukaryota; Metazoa; Chordata; Mammalia; Artiodactyla; Suidae
Description: lncRNA (ENSSSCG00000063138.1)
Source: RNAcentral